UGGGGAAUAUUGCACAAUGGGCGCAAGCCUGAUGCAGCCAUGCCGCGUGUGUGAAGAAGGCCUUCGGGUUGUAAAGCACUUUCAGCGAGGAGGAAGGUGGUGAGCUUAAUACGCUCAUCAAUUGACGUUACUCGCAGAAGAAGCACCGGCUAACUCCGUGCCAGCAGCCGCGGUAAUACGGAGGGUGCAAGCGUUAAUCGGAAUUACUGGGCGUAAAGCGUACGCAGGCGGUUUGUUAAGUCAGAUGUGAAAUCCCCGGGCUCAACCUGGGAACUGCAUUUGAAACUGGCAAGCUAGAGUCUCGUAGAGGGGGGUAGAAUUCCAGGUGUAGCGGUGAAAUGCGUAGAGAUCUGGAGGAAUACCGGUGGCGAAGGCGGCCCCCCUGGACGAAGACUGACGCUCAGGUGCGAAAGGCGUGGGGAGCAAACAGGAUUAGAUACCCCUGGUAGUCCACGCUGUAAACGAUGUCGAUUUUGGAGGUUGUGCCCUUGAGGCGUGGCUUCCGGAGCUAACGCGUUAAAUCGACCGCCUGGGGAGUACGGCCGCAAGGUUAAAACUCAAAUGAAUUGAC
Molecule: ribosomal RNA, 571 nt
Filed under: uncultured bacterium
Lineage: Bacteria
Description: partial 16S ribosomal RNA
Rfam family: Bacterial small subunit ribosomal RNA
Source: RNAcentral